RNAcentral lists this unclassified non-coding RNA (457 nucleotides) under Orbicella faveolata. RNAcentral describes it as "desumoylating isopeptidase 1-like, transcript variant X2". Lineage: Eukaryota; Metazoa; Cnidaria; Anthozoa; Scleractinia; Merulinidae. The record is from RNAcentral.
UAAUUUAAAUUUGUUUUCUGACUUGAAGGCAUACAGGUUUGGUUUGCUAUGAUAGAGAGUUCUUUUAUGGCGGUGAUGGCAUAUCCAGUUGUUCUCCAGGUGGAACAAUUCUUGGUAGCCCAGAUGAGGUGCUUGAUCUUGGAGACACAGAGGUCACCCAAGUUGUUUUUAUGGAUUUCUUCAGUGGAAUUGAAGGCCAACAUUUUAGGGUCUUUGGUCAGAUGGUAAGUCCCAUCAUCAACUCCAUAUCAGUGAGACUAUCUGGAGGGACAUCAGUAUCAGGCUCGGCAACAUCGUUAAGAGGCCCAGAAACGAUAUUUGAACCAAGAGAUACCCCUUCUUCACAGAUGGGUCACUGAGACAUCAGCCUGAUGGCUGGUGAGUACUGAUACAGCACAGUGUAGUAUUUAAAGUCACUGCAAAAUUAUCAAAUAAAUAGUCACUGCAAAAUUAAUCC